Non-coding RNA from Equus caballus (horse), 2080 nucleotides. Lineage: Eukaryota; Metazoa; Chordata; Mammalia; Perissodactyla; Equidae. The record is from RefSeq and is a predicted model, not a curated record.
UCAGGAGCGCGAGCACGGGAGAGAUUUAUAAGGACGAUGAGAAAUAGCGCCGUCGUUUUGCUGUUUUUCAGUCACAUUCCUGGGAGAGGAUGACUCCUAGCCAGGACUCCGCCAUUAGCAGGAAAGCAAUGGAGGUUCAAGCAGCAGAGCGCCCUGAGCUGGCUGAAGUUCCUAAAGGGCUGCCCUGGCUCCUGUGCAGAGGAUGGAGUGUGAGGGGAGAGAGAGGAAGUAGACUAACAGAAAAAGGAUGCUGGCUUGGACCUGGAGGCGGCAGUAGAAAUGCCCGUUUAAAGUUGGAGUAUUAAUGUGAACAGACCCGGGAUGGAAUUUGGAUUCCUCAUGCUUGUGACCAGAACUGGAAGGCCGGGAUGUGCCCCUGCUUUGGAGAGUGACAGAGUGGAUGUUCAGGUCAUCUGUUCCUGGCAGAAGCUUCUCCAGACUCAAGCUCGUGGCAGGGACUGGCCUCCCUCGCAGCUCUCUUGCUCUGGCAACAUCAAGAUGCCCACAGCUGGUCUUUUGUGAACCACACCGCUCAGUGAGCCUUGGCUGAUCCAAAAACCUGGUGUCAUUCGUUGACACUGAGGUCCUGAGCCCUGGUGUCUGGGCACACCUUCUCUGCCCUGCUCGCUCCCCACCUCGAGUGAGCUUUAAGAAAGAUUCUCGGGGGCAGACUGCCUCCGGCAAUGUGGUGAAGCUCUUCCCUUUCCAUCAGACCCUUCCUAGCACAGGGAAAAACUCAGCUCCCUCAAGGAGGACUGGAAAUGUCACCUAAAUUGACAGCCCCAUGCAGACAUGUAAGGUUUACGUGGUAGUCACUUUGAGUUUGUAAAAGCAAGCAUUCCUCUGCUGGGAGGAGGAAGUGGGAAGCCCGGCUGCACCUUCUCCCUGAGAUGAAUGACUGGGAGAUGUCGCAACAAACCUCAGCCCCUUCUGGGAAAGGGCGCGCUGUUUGUCUUCAGCGCCGCCAGCCCAGGGGGUGGUGGGGAUACGGAGGGAGCUCCACGCCCUUUCCGCAGAGCUCCUGUCAGGUUCCAGCCUGCAGGGCCAGAGUAGGCUGCUGGACAGAAAGAAAUGUGACUUUUCAGCAUGGGCUUCUGGCCAGCAGGGUCACCUUGCACAUCCUUUGAGGCUUGGUUCUUUGGUCUUUGCAGCUGAGCCAAAUGGCAGUGCCAGGCAGAAGGCGCUGCCCUCUGGUGUGUGGAUGCUCCUGUCAGUCAAGGCCAAAGAGACUCCAGCUGCAGUUUCUGAUGAAAGGCGCCUUGCAGCCCUGGCGCUUGGCAUUCUGCAUGGGGCUCCAGUGUGACUGGGAGGGGCCUCCCUCUGCAGCUGGAGCAAAGUCUCACUCCGAACGAGAUCUAUGGGGGCUGGGGGUGGAGAUGAGCAUGACAAAAGAAGGAAAUCACAGUUGUGUGUAUUCUGUCCCCACUCGGAAACGGGUGACGCAUCGAUAGGACACUUUCCUGCAAUUCCCUCUUCUCACUCACAAAGAUUUGAAUGACUGAACAACAACAACAAAAAGCAUAGAAGACAGAAAAGAAAAGGGAAUAAAGGACAACAGUACUUUUGGCCAUUCUCCUCUUUGGGAGAUUUCAGAACCAGACAGGAGUGGAUCCAAAUUCCUCCUGAGAACCGUGGCAGCUCCAUGAUUUGGCUAACUCACAAAACCUCCUUAAGGCUCAGGGCUCGAAGUAAAGGGCUUUGGGGAUGAAAAGUUACAAGAUAGAAGGCUUCUGGAUUCCUGGGUCAUCCUUUGGAGGAGAGCUGCUCAGGAGAGUCACCCGACGUAUCCAGCUGUGAUGGGAAACCAACUUUGUGUGCUACACCACUGAGUGUUUGAGCUUUGUUUGUUAUCUUAGCUUAUCCUGUAUUAACACGUUUACACUUAGUGUCCAGAAAGGGCUAAAAUUCCAUCACCCCAGGGUUUAGAAAGGAUCAUCUAUAUAUUACCUAUCAAAAAAUCUCUACCAGGGGCCGGCCCGGUGGCGCAGCAGUUAAGUUUGCACGUUCCACUUUGGUGGCCUGGGGUUUGCCGGUUCAGAUCCCAGCUACGGACAUGGCACCGCUUGGCAAGCCAUGCUGU